RNAcentral lists this microRNA precursor (87 nucleotides) under Equus caballus (horse). Its description in RNAcentral is "mir-9014 microRNA precursor family". It matches the Rfam family "mir-9014 microRNA precursor family". The record is from Rfam by way of RNAcentral. Lineage: Eukaryota; Metazoa; Chordata; Mammalia; Perissodactyla; Equidae.
GGAACCCUAGGGAGGGAUACUAAUCCAGCCUUAGGAAAAGGAACCUGCCAGGGAGUCUUGGAGAUUGGUGACCAUGCUAAUGACUUA